CUUGUUUCUCAGCCUUUUGAUUAAGAUCAUGUGUAGUAUCUGUUCUUAUCAAUUUAAUAUCUGAUCCAUCAUCUAUCCAAAGACAAUAUGUUAAGUAGAUGUUUGGAGCAGGGAGAUGAAACAGGAAUUUGCUCUGUCUACUCCACACAUUACCCUGAUAUAGCAGUACUUCAAGGAUUGGUGCACCCCAC
This is a small nuclear RNA of Sciurus vulgaris (Eurasian red squirrel), 191 nucleotides long. Its record names the gene U2. It matches the Rfam family "U2 spliceosomal RNA". Rfam says of the family: U2 is a small nuclear RNA (snRNA) component of the spliceosome (involved in pre-mRNA splicing). Complementary binding between U2 snRNA (in an area lying towards the 5' end but 3' to hairpin I) and the branchpoint sequence (BPS) of the intron results the bulging out of an unpaired adenosine, on the BPS, which initiates a nucleophilic attack at the intronic 5' splice site, thus starting the first of two transesterification reactions that mediate splicing. NCBI's taxonomy places the organism in Eukaryota, Metazoa, Chordata, Mammalia, Rodentia, Sciuridae. The record is from Ensembl.